AGAGUUUGAUUCGUGGCUCAGGACGAACGCUGGCGGCAUGCCUAACACAUGCAAGUCGAACGGAGCUUGAGAGCUUGCUUUCAAGCUUAGUGGCGGACGGGUGAGUAACGCGUGAGCAACCUGCCUCUAAGUGGGGAAUAAUGUACUGAAAAGGACACUAAUACCGCAUAAAGUAUCGAAGCCGCAUGACAUUGAUACCAAAGAUUUAUCGCUUAGAGAUGGGCUCGCGUCCGAUUAGCCGGUUGGUGGGGUAACGGCCUACCAAAGCUACGAUCGGUAGCCGGACUGAGAGGUUGAACGGCCACAUUGGGACUGAGACACGGCCCAGACUCCUACGGGAGGCAGCAGUGGGGGAUAUUGCACAAUGGGGGAAACCCUGAUGCAAGCGACGCCGCGUGAAGGAGGAAGUGCUUCGGCAUGUAAACUUCUAUCAGCAGGGAAGAAGAUGACGGUACCUGACUAAGAAGCCCCGGCUAACUACGUGCCAGCCGCCGC
This 495-nucleotide ribosomal RNA is filed under the name uncultured bacterium. RNAcentral describes it as "bacterial SSU rRNA". It matches the Rfam family "Bacterial small subunit ribosomal RNA", at positions 8 to 518 of the family's 1533-position model. The record is from RNAcentral.